RNAcentral lists this ribosomal RNA (210 nucleotides) under Vibrio parahaemolyticus. RNAcentral describes it as "partial 23S ribosomal RNA". It matches the Rfam family "Bacterial large subunit ribosomal RNA", at positions 366 to 581 of the family's 2925-position model. The record is from RNAcentral. Lineage: Bacteria; Pseudomonadati; Pseudomonadota; Gammaproteobacteria; Vibrionales; Vibrionaceae.
GAUAGUCCCGUAGUUGACGACGUGUGUUCAGUGAAAUCGAGUAGGGCGGGACACGUGAUAUCCUGUCUGAAUAUGGGGGGACCAUCCUCCAAGGCUAAAUACUACUGACUGACCGAUAGUGAACCAGUACCGUGAGGGAAAGGCGAAAAGAACCCCUGUGAGGGGAGUGAAAUAGAACCUGAAACCGUGUACGUACAAGCAGUAGGAGCA